Long non-coding RNA from Homo sapiens (human), 2812 nucleotides. Ensembl annotates it as firre intergenic repeating RNA element. Its record names the gene FIRRE. The record is from Ensembl. Lineage: Eukaryota; Metazoa; Chordata; Mammalia; Primates; Hominidae.
GGGGCCUAGGACCUUUGUGGUAGCAGAGUCACUGCAGAGAACCAGACAAUACCAGGUUGCUUAUAAAAGGAUGCCAUGUGCUUGCUGGAGGUCCCAGGUGCAACCAAAUUGCUUGCAGCUAGGAGGACCUUGAAGAGAAAUGGGAUCAGCCCGCCAAACCAAGAAGGGUUAGCACUUUUGCUAGGAGAGCUGACCACGCACAAACAGAUGAGAACCAAAACCGAGUGAAGAGGAUUGAAGAUGAACCCACAUUUUAAAAGUUCUUGUCUGCUGGAGGUGGCAUUACCUGUGACCUCGCUUCACUUCUCCAUACAUGGCUGUUAUAGCAGAAAAUCCAGCUUUCUGAAGCAUAUUUCACGACAUAUGAUGAGACUUAUGUGAUGUGAGACCUGAGAAAACUAUGAUAGAAAGAAGCAACUCAAGUUGCAAGGAUAUUCCUCAUGUAUCAUGCAAGGAUAUUCCUCAUAUAUCAUAGACUAAGGUGUCAGUAUGUUCUUCAAGCUGCUCUGCUCCUGGGCCCAAGCUAUUCUCCUGCCUCAGCCUUCCAAGAAGCUGAAACUACAAGAACACAAGACUGUACCUGGCUUGCAAACACCAUUGCUAAUAAGAAGAUAUUGUAAGACUGAUACCUAAGAGAUAAGAGAGUCUCACUCAUUCUGUCGCCCAGGCUGGAGUGCAGUGGCGUGAUCUCAGCUCACUGCAACCUCCACCUCCCGGAUUCAAGCGAUUCUCCUGCCUCAGCCUCCUGAGUAGCUGGGACUACAGGCCCUCCCUCCGUUGCCCAGGUGGGAGUGCAGUGGUGUGAUGUCAGUUCACUGCAACCUUGGCCUCCCGGAUUCAAGCGAUUCUCCUGCCUUAACCUUCCGAACAUGGAUCCCUGAGGUCGGUCCCCAAUACGACAAGACAAUUUGAUAUCAUAAUAGAACACUGCAGAAACAAUGCUGAGUGAAGAAGAGUAGAAAUGGGAAGACUUGGUUGAGCGGAAACUGAGUUCUUGAAAAGAGGAGAUGCUUGAUGAGGGCAUGGAUCCCUGAGGUCUGCCCCAGUACUAUAAGACAAUUUGAUGUAAGAAAACACAGCAGAUAUAAUACUGAGUGAAGAAGAGUAUAAAUGAGAAGAUUGGUUGUGCAGAUACUGAGUUCAUGAAAAGAGGAGAUGAUUGAUGAGGCCAGGUGCGGUGACUCAUGCCUGUAAUCCCUGCACUUUGGGAGGCUGCGGCGGGCGGAUCACCUGAGGUCAGGAGUUCGAGACCAGCCUGGGAGACAGAGCAUGGAAACCUAAGGUCUGUACCCAAAACUACAGGACUAUUUGACAUCAUAAUAAAACACUGCAGAUAUGAUGCUGAGUAAGAGUAGAAAUGGGAAGACUUGGUUGUGCAGUAACUGAGUUCUUGAAAAGAGGAGAUGCUUGAUGAGGGCAUGGAUCACUAAGGUCUGUUCCCAAUACAAGAAGACUCUUUGACAUCAUAAUAAAAUACUGCAGAUACGAUGCUGAGUGAAAAAGAGUAGAAAUGGGAAGACUUGGUUGUGCAGAAACUGAGUUCUUAAAGAGAGGAGAUACUUUAUGAGGAUGGGAUCAUCUAGUUGCAGGAAAACAAGGCUCAGGGUGCCUACUGAUUCUACAUUAUGGUCUUUAGAAAAUAACUUAACUCUUUCAAGCAAUUGCCAAUCAGAAAAUCUUGGAAUCCUCCUAUGACCUUUGCAGGGCUUUGACUCCUGGGUACAUGUAUCUCAUCUGAAAGGGAAUCCUGACGCCUACUGAAUCUUAAUAGUCAAUAUUGAUAUCUGGCAUCAAAUUCAAGUUGACCAAAGUUCCAUCUUCAGACCUGGGAGAAGAUGACAGUCAAAAUGAACUGCUUUCAUGUGACACUGGACCAGGCCUAUAUACAAAGGCAUAAGUAAUCAUUGAAUAAUGUUUCAUCUAUCUAUCUUAAUAUAAUUUGUUCUAUGCCUUACUAGAUAAAUGUUUAGUUACCUGUGAGUUUUCUUUUCCUGCCAUUGUCAGAGCUAGGCAGGGCUUAAGUCCCUUUCGUUUAAACAUUACUAACUCUAUACAUAGCUUGCAAAAUUGGAUAAAACAACAAAGGUUACUUUUUCACUCUCUCUCUGCUUAAUAUCUCUGAAAUUUAAAACUAUUCAGAAUCCCACUGGGCCCGAUCUAUUUUCAAUGCUAAUGCUCCACUGCUAAAACUAUAUAAGCAUCUUCCCUCUAGGCUCAGGCACUAUCUUGGAAGAGGUAAAUGUGUAAGAUUGUAAAGGUUGAUUUUUGAGCAACAAAAUUAAUUUAGAUCUUCCAAAUAAAAAAUGGGCACACAGAUGCCCAAACAGUUGGCAAAAUAAGAUACUUUACCUCCUGGACCAGUAUGUGGACCUUUUUCAUCCAUCCCAACCAUAAUUUCCUCUUUCCUGUAGAAUUAAAAGAAAAUUGCAAAGAGGAUAUGAACUUUUCUGGUAAGAAAACCUCCUGGGUAUAGUGCUCCCAGUUAUGAGAUUUAUGCAGAUUGUUAUAUAAAGUUUUUUUAAAUCAAGCACCUUAGGACAAACUAUUAAAAAGACUGCUAAAAGCGUUGUGACACAACAAAAGUCUCUAAAUUCUGUAGCUUAAAAAGUUUUAACAAAGUACUUAUCUUUUGCAAGCUAAUUGCUACAAGUCUAUAACUAAAACAUGUAUUGACUGAUGUCUUAGGUCUCCCUAAAAUAUAUAAAACCAAGUUGUAAACCAAUCACCUUGGACACAUGUUCUCAGGACCUCUGGAGACUGUGCCUUGGGCCAUGGUCACUCAUAUUUGGCUGAGAAUAAAAUUUUAAAAAUA